AGCGUACUCCCUCCGCCCCAAAAUAAGUGACUUAAAAAUGACUCAACUUUGUACUAAAGUUAGUGUAAAGUUGAAUCAUUUUUGAGUCACUUAUUUUGGGACGGAGGGAGUAUAUA
Molecule: non-coding RNA, 116 nt
Organism: Hordeum vulgare subsp. vulgare (domesticated barley)
Lineage: Eukaryota; Viridiplantae; Streptophyta; Magnoliopsida; Poales; Poaceae
Source: Rfam